This 649-nucleotide ribosomal RNA is filed under the name uncultured Clostridium sp. Its description in RNAcentral is "bacterial SSU rRNA". It matches the Rfam family "Bacterial small subunit ribosomal RNA", at positions 145 to 811 of the family's 1533-position model. Lineage: Bacteria; Bacillati; Bacillota; Clostridia; Eubacteriales; Clostridiaceae. The record is from RNAcentral.
AGCCUCGGGAAACCGGGAUUAAGACCUCAUGAUAUCGGGUUAUCACAUAGUAAUCCGGUCAAAGAUUUAUCGGCAUGGGAUGGGCCUGCGUCUGAUUAGCUGGUUGGUGGGGUAACGGCCUACCAAGGCGACGAUCAGUAGCAGAACUGAGAGGUUCAUCUGCCACAUUGGAACUGAGACACGGUCCAAACUCCUACGGGAGGCAGCAGUGAGGAAUAUUGCACAAUGGGCGAAAGCCUGAUGCAGCAACGCCGCGUGAGCGAAGAAGGCCUUUGGGUCGUAAAGCUCUGUCCUUGGGGAAGAAACAAAUGACGGUACCCUUGGAGGAAGCCCCGGCUAACUACGUGCCAGCAGCCGCGGUAAUACGUAGGGGGCGAGCGUUAUCCGGAAUUAUUGGGCGUAAAGAGUGCGUAGGUGGUCUUGUAAGCGUGGGGCGAAAGGCAGUGGCUUAACCAUUGUUAGCCUUGCGAACUGUGAGACUUGAGUGCAGGAGAGGAAAGCGGAAUUCCUAGUGUAGCGGUGAAAUGCGUAGAUAUUAGGAGGAACACCAGUGGCGAAGGCGGCUUUCUGGACUGUAACUGACACUGAGGCACGAAAGCGUGGGGAGCAAACAGGAUUAGAUACCCUGGUAGUCCACGCCGUAACGAUG